This is a long non-coding RNA of Thunnus maccoyii (southern bluefin tuna), 224 nucleotides long. RefSeq lists it as uncharacterized. The transcript has 4 exons. The record is from RefSeq and is a predicted model, not a curated record. NCBI's taxonomy places the organism in Eukaryota, Metazoa, Chordata, Actinopteri, Scombriformes, Scombridae.
CUACAACAAGUCUUAACAUAACAACACAACCAGCUGUAACCAACUCAACAUCUGUUCUUACAACAGAUUUAAACACAACAACAUUCACAGCAACACCAACAUCAAUUGUAACAAAUUCAACACUCAUCACUACUACACCCACAGCUACACCGACCACCGCUGUCACCAAUUCAACAUAUAUUGCAACAACAGAUUUAAACACAACAUUCACAGCAACACAACCA